This 427-nucleotide ribosomal RNA is filed under the name uncultured bacterium. Its description in RNAcentral is "partial 16S ribosomal RNA". It matches the Rfam family "Bacterial small subunit ribosomal RNA", at positions 355 to 774 of the family's 1533-position model. The record is from RNAcentral.
UGGGGAAUAUUGGACAAUGGGCGAAAGCCUGAUCCAGCCAUGCCGCGUGUGUGAAGAAGGUCUUCGGAUUGUAAAGCACUUUAAGUUGGGAGGAAGGGCGUUAACCUAAUACGUUAGUGUUUUGACGUUACCGACAGAAUAAGCACCGGCUAACUCUGUGCCAGCAGCCGCGGUAAUACAGAGGGUGCAAGCGUUAAUCGGAAUUACUGGGCGUAAAGCGCGCGUAGGUGGGUUGUUAAGUUGGAUGUGAAAUCCCCGGGCUCAACCUGGGAACUGCAUUCAAAACUGACUGACUAGAGUAUGGUAGAGGGUGGUGGAAUUUCCUGUGUAGCGGUGAAAUGCGUAGAUAUAGGAAGGAACACCAGUGGCGAAGGCGACCACCUGGACUAAUACUGACACUGAGGUGCGAAAGCGUGGGGAGCAAACA